RNAcentral lists this ribosomal RNA (305 nucleotides) under uncultured bacterium. RNAcentral's name for it is "bacterial SSU rRNA". It matches the Rfam family "Bacterial small subunit ribosomal RNA", at positions 338 to 660 of the family's 1533-position model. The record is from RNAcentral.
CCUACGGGACGCAGCAGUGAGGGAUAUUGGUCAAUGGGGGAAACCCUGAACCAGCAACGCCGCGUGAGGGAAGACGGUUUUCGGAUUGUAAACCUCUGUCCUCUGUGAAGAUAAUGACGGCAGCAGAGGAGGAAGCUCCGGCUAACUACGUGCCAGCAGCCGCGGUAAUACGUAGGGAGCGAGCGUUAUCCGGAUUUACUGGGUGUAAAGGGAGCGUAGGCGGCCACGCAAGUCAGAAGUGAAAACCCGGGGCUCAACCCUGGGAGUGCUUUUGAAACUGUGCGGCUAGAGUGUCGGAGGGGUAA